GAUGAACGCUGGCGGCGUGCUUUACACAUGCAAGUCGAACGGAAAGGCCCAAGCUUGCUUGGGUACUCGAGUGGCGAACGGGUGAGUAACACGUGGGUGAUCUGCCCUGCACUUCGGGAUAAGCCUGGGAAACUGGGUCUAAUACCGGAUAGGACCACAUUUUGGAUGGUGUGGUGGAAAGUUUUUCGGUGUGGGAUGAGCUCGCGGCCUAUCAGCUUGUUGGUGGGGUAAUGGCCUACCAAGGCGUCGACGGGUAGCCGGCCUGAGAGGGUGUACGGCCACAUUGGGACUGAGAUACGGCCCAGACUCCUACGGGAGGCAGCAGUGGGGAAUAUUGAACAAUGGGCGCAAGCCUGAUGCAGCGACGCCGCGUGGGGGAUGACGGCCUUCGGGUUGUAAACUCCUUUCGCUAGGGACGAAGCGUUAUGUGACGGUACCUGGAGAAGAAGCACCGGCUAACUACGUG
This 466-nucleotide ribosomal RNA is filed under the name uncultured bacterium. RNAcentral describes it as "partial 16S ribosomal RNA". It matches the Rfam family "Bacterial small subunit ribosomal RNA", at positions 28 to 507 of the family's 1533-position model. The record is from RNAcentral.